RNAcentral lists this ribosomal RNA (1192 nucleotides) under Citrobacter amalonaticus. RNAcentral's name for it is "partial 23S ribosomal RNA". It matches the Rfam family "Bacterial large subunit ribosomal RNA", at positions 1742 to 2925 of the family's 2925-position model. The record is from RNAcentral. Lineage: Bacteria; Pseudomonadati; Pseudomonadota; Gammaproteobacteria; Enterobacterales; Enterobacteriaceae.
GUAGGUGAAGCGAUUUACUCGUGGAGCUGAAAUCAGUCGAAGAUACCAGCUGGCUGCAACUGUUUAUUAAAAACACAGCACUGUGCAAACACGAAAGUGGACGUAUACGGUGUGACGCCUGCCCGGUGCCGGAAGGUUAAUUGAUGGGGUUAUCCUCGCGGAGAAGCUCUUGAUCGAAGCCCCGGUAAACGGCGGCCGUAACUAUAACGGUCCUAAGGUAGCGAAAUUCCUUGUCGGGUAAGUUCCGACCUGCACGAAUGGCGUAAUGAUGGCCAGGCUGUCUCCACCCGAGACUCAGUGAAAUUGAACUCGCUGUGAAGAUGCAGUGUACCCGCGGCAAGACGGAAAGACCCCGUGAACCUUUACUAUAGCUUGACACUGAACACUGGUCCUUGAUGUGUAGGAUAGGUGGGAGGCUUUGAAGCGCGGACGCCAGUUCGUGUGGAGCCAACCUUGAAAUACCACCCUUUAAUGGCUGGUGUUCUAACGUGGACCCGUUACCCGGGUUGCGGACAGUGUCUGGUGGGUAGUUUGACUGGGGCGGUCUCCUCCUAAAGAGUAACGGAGGAGCACGAAGGUUAGCUAAUCCUGGUCGGACAUCAGGAGGUUAGUGCAAAGGCAUAAGCUAGCUUGACUGCGAGCGUGACGGCGCGAGCAGGUGCGAAAGCAGGUCUUAGUGAUCCGGUGGUUCUGAAUGGAAGGGCCAUCGCUCAACGGAUAAAAGGUACUCCGGGGAUAACAGGCUGAUACCGCCCAAGAGUUCAUAUCGACGGCGGUGUUUGGCACCUCGAUGUCGGCUCAUCACAUCCUGGGGCUGAAGUAGGUCCCAAGGGUAUGGCUGUUCGCCAUUUAAAGUGGUACGCGAGCUGGGUUUAGAACGUCGUGAGACAGUUCGGUCCCUAUCUGCCGUGGGCGCUGGAGAAUUGAGGGGGGCUGCUCCUAGUACGAGAGGACCGGAGUGGACGCAUCACUGGUGUUCGGGUUGUCAUGCCAAUGGCACUGCCCGGUAGCUAAAUGCGGAAGAGAUAAGUGCUGAAAGCAUCUAAGCACGAAACUUGCCCCGAGAUGAGUUCUCCCUGACCCUUUAAGGGUCCUGAAGGAACGUUGAAGACGACGACGUUGAUAGGCCGGGUGUGUAAGCGCAGCGAUGCGUUGAGCUAACCGGUACUAAUGAACCGUGAGGCUUAACCUU